This is a non-coding RNA of Amylostereum chailletii, 86 nucleotides long. The record is from the annotation of a GenBank genome assembly. Lineage: Eukaryota; Fungi; Basidiomycota; Agaricomycetes; Russulales; Stereaceae.
GGCCUGGUGGUCUAGUAGUAUGAUUCCUUCUUAGGGUCUUGAAACACAUUUGGAGAAGGUCCCGGGUUCAAUUCCCUGUCAGGCCC